RNAcentral lists this long non-coding RNA (832 nucleotides) under Ornithorhynchus anatinus (platypus). RNAcentral describes it as "lncRNA (ENSOANG00000039419.1)". Lineage: Eukaryota; Metazoa; Chordata; Mammalia; Monotremata; Ornithorhynchidae. The record is from RNAcentral.
AGUGAAGCCAAGUAGCCCUGGUGACAGGUCUAAAUUCUCCCAUGGAGAAUGGGGUGAGGGCAGGGAUGUAAAUAUCACUGAAUGGAACUGAACAAAAGUGAACCAACAGGACCGCUGGACUCCCAAGUGUCAGACCAGCUGUUUCUAACGUUUCUGCUUGCCUGUCUUUCUGUCUGCCAGCAUGCCUGACUGCCACCUAUCUGUCCGUGUGUCUCUUGGCCUCCCCCACUUCAGCACUCUCCUUACCCUAUCCCCAGGCGCCAUCUAUGCAGAACUGAAGAACACAGCCCCACUCUCACAGUCUUCACAGAUCUCCUCUGACCAUGGAAACCUUUAUCAGGAACUGAAUAUCGAUGAUGGAGGCAGGUCCCACACCAAGCCAGGCUGGCGAUAUGGGGCCUGGGCCUGGAUCCUGGCCGGGUUCGUCGGGAUCUUGUUAGUGUCAGUGACCGUGACCUUGAUUGUGAAAUCUCUCCCGAACUCCCAGACCCAGACAGCUGCCAUCAACUCCAACUUCACCAAUCUGACCACCCUGACCUUCAGGACCCCCCAAAUCACCCAGCCCUCCUGGACCAUCCAGACCUCAGACUGCACCCCAGAAGCUACGUCCUUGACCAGCAGGGAAGGAGGCUGGGAGCCCUUUGGGGGAAGCUGCUACCUCAUUGCCAAGGCCUCACAAGACUGUGGUGGCAAACAACCCAAAUGCAAAGAAUGUUCAGACUGUCACCGGGAGAAACAGUGGACCUGGAACUGCAGCCGACGGGAAUGUUCCCGUGACGGGGCUCACCUUGUGACCAUCGACAGCGGACAGGAGCUGGUGAGGCCGAGAUAG